GAAAAGAAACUAACAAGGAUUCCCCUAGUAACUGCGAGUGAAGCGGGAAAAGCUCAAAUUUAAAAUCUGGUAGUCUUUGGCUGCCCGAGUUGUAAUCUAGAGAAGCAUUAUCCGCGCUGGACCGUGUACAAGUGUCCUGGAAUGGACCAUCAUAGAGGGUGAGAAUCCCGUCUUUGACACGGACUACCAGGGCUUUGUGAUGUGCUCUCAAAGAGUCGAGUUGUUUGGGAAUGCAGCUCUAAAUGGGUGGUAAAUUCCAUCUAAAGCUAAAUAUUGGCGAGAGACCGAUAGCGAACAAGUACCGUGAGGGAAAGAUGAAAAGAACUUUGGAAAGAGAGUUAAACAGUACGUGAAAUUGCUGAAAGGGAAACGCUUGAAGUCAGUCGCGUUGGCUGGGGAUCAACCUUGCUUCUUGCUUGGCUUACUUCCCAGUUGACGGGUCAGCAUCAGUUUUGACCGGUGGAUAAAGGUCAGGGGAAUGUGGCACCCUCGGGUGUGUUAUAGCCUCUGGUCAUAUACAUUGGUUGGGACUGA
RNAcentral lists this ribosomal RNA (534 nucleotides) under Termitomyces medius. RNAcentral's name for it is "eukaryotic LSU rRNA". It matches the Rfam family "Eukaryotic large subunit ribosomal RNA", at positions 56 to 589 of the family's 3401-position model. The record is from RNAcentral. Lineage: Eukaryota; Fungi; Basidiomycota; Agaricomycetes; Agaricales; Lyophyllaceae.